UAAAAAACCGUUCGCGACGGUCCCGCGCGAGCGGGCGAGAAAGGGAAUGCCGUGCGCUGCCUUCGGGUGGCAAGUCGGCAGCUGCCCCCGCAACUGUCAGCGAUGAGGUAUCCUCCGCGCCCCUCUCCGGUUUCCAGCCGGGAUGGGCUGCCACUGGAUCGGAAUGAUCCGGGAAGGCUGGAAGUAUGCCGUUUCCACAUCGCGAGCCAGGAGACCUGCCGUCGUCAAUGGAUCACA
RNAcentral lists this non-coding RNA (237 nucleotides) under Granulibacter bethesdensis. RNAcentral also lists the same sequence under 1 other name. The record is from RNAcentral. Lineage: Bacteria; Pseudomonadati; Pseudomonadota; Alphaproteobacteria; Acetobacterales; Acetobacteraceae.